CCAAACGUCCCUUUCCCCUUUCGUCAAAACCGUAGCCGCCAGGGUGUACCACUCUCUCUCUUCUCGUGGUUUUUGCCAGAAAUGGCAUCGGGACAAUGUACUAUGCUUUGGGUAGAACAAUUAAUGUUCUACCCUCUCUUCCCAAACACUGCCGUUGAAGCAUCAAAGAGGUGAGGUUGCUCCUCUUUCUAUGCUUUUCCUGCAUUUUCAACGGUCAUACAUUGUAGUUUCUUAAUUGUUUUGUUGUUUUAUGAUUUGAAUCCAAGAUUUCCAUUGGUCUAUAAAGGAAGCACUCGGAUUGACUUUGAUUGGGUCAAAUCUGGCCGUAGAUUUACUUUUGUGCUUGUUUCCUAGUCGUUGGAUGUGGUAUUGAGAGAUGCCAAGUUGUGAAAAUUGGAGCAUACUAAAAACUCAAUAUACUCAUAGAACUCAAAAUACUUAGGGUUUCAAAAUAUUUGAGACCUUUAACUUUUAUGAGUUAAGUAAAAAUUUUAAAGUUUGUUUUCUGGGUUUUGUGGCUGAGUUUUUGGGAUUUGAGGAGCAAAGGAAUCUCCAAGUUCAUUCUCGAUACAAGGCUGCACAAAAGAAAGGGCUGGGCGUUCGGUAUUCGCUUCGGUAUUUUCAAAGUUCGGGUUCAGUAAUUCGGUAAUCGGUAAUUCAAAGUAUAUACCAAAUACCGAACUUUCAAACUUCGGUUCGGUACGGUAUUCGCUAAUACCAUAUUGAAGUUGAAGUCCACUUAUUAGAAUGCAAGUUGAUUUGGGAAGGUUAAAUGAUUUCGACAAAUCAAACUUUUACUCUCCCUUAUUCAUAUCAUUACAUCCAUACCUGAAGCAUUGCCCAUCCUUUUGGUGUCUUUGAAGCCAAUAGUAACAGCCAAGCACAGUAACAUUAAGGUCCAAUUGAUCUCUGGAAUAUAAAUCUGUCCAUGUAUUUUUGAUGA
Lycium barbarum (goji berry) is the source of this 943-nucleotide long non-coding RNA. RefSeq lists it as uncharacterized. NCBI's taxonomy places the organism in Eukaryota, Viridiplantae, Streptophyta, Magnoliopsida, Solanales, Solanaceae. The transcript is spliced from 2 exons. The record is from RefSeq and is a predicted model, not a curated record.